RNAcentral lists this long non-coding RNA (1581 nucleotides) under Marmota monax (woodchuck). The record is from RNAcentral. Lineage: Eukaryota; Metazoa; Chordata; Mammalia; Rodentia; Sciuridae.
GAGUCAUUCAGCUGCAACUUGCUGUCUUUGCUGUGCUCUCUGAUAGUAUGGGUCCUGCUGAUGUCUGCAAAAGACAGGCAACGACAUCAAAGGAGAGCAACACCUGAAAACGUGCAUUUUCUGCUGCCUACCCACUUUCCACCCCACUACAACAGGCUGGGCCCACAUCAAAAAGGUUUAGUAAACCUCUAAAAGUGCAGAGGAACUUUUCACAACUUCAGGCUCGCUCGCUGGUUGAAGAAAAGAGAACCAAGUUCAUUUUUCACUUCUGAGUAUCAUGUCCUCUUCCUUGCUGUAGGAAAAAUGAUGAGAAAGAAGCUAAGUGGCUUUCCAUAGCAUAGUGUCUCCCCGGAGUCCACAGCACAUAUCAGGAGGUUAAGAGCAACUGACCAAAGCAACAAAUCCUUGCACCCUGCUUACAUGGCCACUUGGGUAAGUUUCAUUGUUUUCCCCCUUGGAAGUGUUUUUCCUUGUCAGUUUGGGUUCCCUGGGGUUCUUUGUGUUUAAUAUGUGCAUUCCUGCAUUUUAACAGUUUCACAAUGUAUUAGAUAAAUGCACCAGGUUCCAUGGAACAGCCAGAACAUUUAUCUUUGCCACCAGAUGGCAGUGUAAUACCAUUCAUGCAUGCCUAAAACAAGGGGGAAAAUGGGCUCAAGGGACUUUGGAUAAGUACUAUCCAUUAUACCCUGAAAUAAGAUAUCAUUUCCAUUAUGCAUUCAAUGAUGAUACAUUUAUAAAGCUAUCAAUGGCUAUGGCUAAAGAAUUUCAGUUACCUGCCACUGGGCAAUAAACCACACAUCAAAAUUUACUGGUUGAAAGAGUAAUUGUCAAAAUUCUGUGGAUUGAUUGCGAUCAACUGGGCUACUCUUCCCAAUUGAUUUUCUCUUACACAAGAUGGAGCUGAGCUCUCUCCUAUGUUUAUUUUCAGUUAGGACUCUGGCGAAAGCUGGGAUUUCCAAGAUGGCCUCUCAUGCUCAAGGACUUCUCUCUACAUGGUCCAUCACUAUUCAAAUCUUGCACAAGCUUCAAUACAGCAUGGCAAGUGGCCACUGAAAUAGCAGCUCAUCCAAGUGGACAAGCCCAUUGUUCAAGGGUGAUAAAAGCCUCCUCUUGAAUCACACUUGCUAAUAUUCCAUUGGCCUAGACGCUCCAUGGGAGAGGAACUACAUAUAAGCAACUGGACAGUCCACCACACAAAUAUAAAAGGAUCCAAGCACAAUGUCAGAAAGCUCUCCCAGUAUGAUUUACAUUAGAAACCUCAUAAAUCUACAUUUCUUUUCUCAGAAAAUCAUAAAUAAAACAAAUGGUGCUGACACAUCUUGUAAAACGUCAGAAAAAUAGACCAUCCAGUUGUUCCCCUGAGCACUUUGCAUAGAAAGGCACAACCCAGGCUGUGGCCCUAGAAUUUUGGGAACUAAAACUCAACAUGUUAAGGACACCCAUGGUUAAGCAAGCUAAAAGAGAAGACUAGCAAUAAAUAAACUUUAAAAGGAAAUUUUCAGAACCAGAUGUAAAUUUAGUCGUUUACAAAGACAGGCCUACCUGGUGUACGAAUGGAAGCUACUUUUAAACUCAACCCUU